GGGGGCGCACUGGUUUCGACGGAGAUCGUGAGGCCGCAGUUGCAGGUCGGGGAUGGCAGUUGGCCCCGUUAUCAAUUUCUGCCAGGCAUACAAUUGCCAACGAUGAUUACGCAUACGCCAUGGCCGCCUAAUUUAGGCACUGUGGUCCUGGAGCAUGACUCCAGCGGCACCUUGGGAGUUACGCCCGAUAAACCCAUCGAUCGCUGACGACCCCCCUCGGGAUAGGACCUCCAUUUCACCUUUGGGCGGAGGUCCGAAACUCAACAAAGGUUGGCUCUCUGGCCGUCUGGGCCGGGUCAAUCCAGAGAGCGAGACACUAAUCCGGUCCUAAACCUGUAGACGCUUCGAGCCAAUCAUUUUCGGACGGGGGUUCGAUUCCCCCCGCCUCCACCA
This 393-nucleotide transfer-messenger RNA is filed under the name Desulfovibrionaceae. RNAcentral's name for it is "JAHJKV01 sp018822065 Standard tmRNA". It matches the Rfam family "transfer-messenger RNA". From Rfam's summary of the family: Bacterial tmRNA, also known as 10Sa RNA or SsrA, is named for its dual tRNA and mRNA-like properties. Its role is to liberate the mRNA from a stalled ribosome. Lineage: Bacteria; Pseudomonadati; Thermodesulfobacteriota; Desulfovibrionia; Desulfovibrionales. The record is from RNAcentral. RNAcentral also lists the same sequence under 1 other name.